Molecule: ribosomal RNA, 164 nt
Filed under: uncultured bacterium
Lineage: Bacteria
Description: partial 16S ribosomal RNA
Rfam family: Bacterial small subunit ribosomal RNA
Source: RNAcentral
UAGGGAAUCUUCCACAAUGGGCGCAAGCCUGAUGGAGCAACACCGCGUGAGUGAAGAAGGGUUUCGGCUCGUAAAGCUCUGUUGUUAAAAAAGAACGUGGGUAAGAGUAACUGUUUACCCAGUGACGGUAUUUAACCAGAAAGCCACGGCUAACUACGUGCCAA